This 2925-nucleotide ribosomal RNA is filed under the name Escherichia coli. Its description in RNAcentral is "partial 23S ribosomal RNA". It matches the Rfam family "Bacterial large subunit ribosomal RNA". Lineage: Bacteria; Pseudomonadati; Pseudomonadota; Gammaproteobacteria; Enterobacterales; Enterobacteriaceae. The record is from RNAcentral.
GGGUUGUGAGGUUAAGCGACUAAGCGUACACGGUGGAUGCCCUGGCAGUCAGAGGCGAUGAAGGACGUGCUAAUCUGCGAUAAGCGUCGGUAAGGUGAUAUGAACCGUUAUAACCGGCGAUUUCCGAAUGGGGAAACCCAGUGUGUUUCGACACACUAUCAUUAACUGAAUCCAUAGGUUAAUGAGGCGAACCGGGGGAACUGAAACAUCUAAGUACCCCGAGGAAAAGAAAUCAACCGAGAUUCCCCCAGUAGCGGCGAGCGAACGGGGAGGAGCCCAGAGCCUGAAUCAGUGUGUGUGUUAGUGGAAGCGUCUGGAAAGGCGCGCGAUACAGGGUGACAGCCCCGUACACAAAAAUGCACAUACUGUGAGCUCGAUGAGUAGGGCGGGACACGUGGUAUCCUGUCUGAAUAUGGGGGGACCAUCCUCCAAGGCUAAAUACUCCUGACUGACCGAUAGUGAACCAGUACCGUGAGGGAAAGGCGAAAAGAACCCCGGCGAGGGGAGUGAAAAAGAACCUGAAACCGUGUACGUACAAGCAGUGGGAGCCUCUUAAUGGGGUGACUGCGUACCUUUUGUAUAAUGGGUCAGCGACUUAUAUUCUGUAGCAAGGUUAACCGAAUAGGGGAGCCGAAGGGAAACCGAGUCUUAACUGGGCGUUAAGUUGCAGGGUAUAGACCCGAAACCCGGUGAUCUAGCCAUGGGCAGGUUGAAGGUUGGGUAACACUAACUGGAGGACCGAACCGACUAAUGUUGAAAAAUUAGCGGAUGACUUGUGGCUGGGGGUGAAAGGCCAAUCAAACCGGGAGAUAGCUGGUUCUCCCCGAAAGCUAUUUAGGUAGCGCCUCGUGAAUUCAUCUCCGGGGGUAGAGCACUGUUUCGGCAAGGGGGUCAUCCCGACUUACCAACCCGAUGCAAACUGCGAAUACCGGAGAAUGUUAUCACGGGAGACACACGGCGGGUGCUAACGUCCGUCGUGAAGAGGGAAACAACCCAGACCGCCAGCUAAGGUCCCAAAGUCAUGGUUAAGUGGGAAACGAUGUGGGAAGGCCCAGACAGCCAGGAUGUUGGCUUAGAAGCAGCCAUCAUUUAAAGAAAGCGUAAUAGCUCACUGGUCGAGUCGGCCUGCGCGGAAGAUGUAACGGGGCUAAACCAUGCACCGAAGCUGCGGCAGCGACACUAUGUGUUGUUGGGUAGGGGAGCGUUCUGUAAGCCUGUGAAGGUGUACUGUGAGGUAUGCUGGAGGUAUCAGAAGUGCGAAUGCUGACAUAAGUAACGAUAAAGCGGGUGAAAAGCCCGCUCGCCGGAAGACCAAGGGUUCCUGUCCAACGUUAAUCGGGGCAGGGUGAGUCGACCCCUAAGGCGAGGCCGAAAGGCGUAGUCGAUGGGAAACAGGUUAAUAUUCCUGUACUUGGUGUUACUGCGAAGGGGGGACGGAGAAGGCUAUGUUGGCCGGGCGACGGUUGUCCCGGUUUAAGCGUGUAGGCUGGUUUUCCAGGCAAAUCCGGAAAAUCAAGGCUGAGGCGUGAUGACGAGGCACUACGGUGCUGAAGCAACAAAUGCCCUGCUUCCAGGAAAAGCCUCUAAGCAUCAGGUAACAUCAAAUCGUACCCCAAACCGACACAGGUGGUCAGGUAGAGAAUACCAAGGCGCUUGAGAGAACUCGGGUGAAGGAACUAGGCAAAAUGGUGCCGUAACUUCGGGAGAAGGCACGCUGAUAUGUAGGUGAAGUCCCUCGCGGAUGGAGCUGAAAUCAGUCGAAGAUACCAGCUGGCUGCAACUGUUUAUUAAAAACACAGCACUGUGCAAACACGAAAGUGGACGUAUACGGUGUGACGCCUGCCCGGUGCCGGAAGGUUAAUUGAUGGGGUUAGCGGUAACGCGAAGCUCUUGAUCGAAGCCCCGGUAAACGGCGGCCGUAACUAUAACGGUCCUAAGGUAGCGAAAUUCCUUGUCGGGUAAGUUCCGACCUGCACGAAUGGCGUAAUGAUGGCCAGGCUGUCUCCACCCGAGACUCAGUGAAAUUGAACUCGCUGUGAAGAUGCAGUGUACCCGCGGCAAGACGGAAAGACCCCGUGAACCUUUACUAUAGCUUGACACUGAACAUUGAGCCUUGAUGUGUAGGAUAGGUGGGAGGCUUUGAAGUGUGGACGCCAGUCUGCAUGGAGCCGGCCUUGAAAUACCACCCUUUAAUGUUUGAUGUUCUAACGUUGGCCCCUGAUCGGGGUUGCGGACAGUGUCUGGUGGGUAGUUUGACUGGGGCGGUCUCCUCCUAAAGAGUAACGGAGGAGCACGAAGGUUGGCUAAUCCUGGUCGGACAUCAGGAGGUUAGUGCAAUGGCAUAAGCCAGCUUGACUGCGAGCGUGACGGCGCGAGCAGGUGCGAAAGCAGGUCAUAGUGAUCCGGUGGUUCUGAAUGGAAGGGCCAUCGCUCAACGGAUAAAAGGUACUCCGGGGAUAACAGGCUGAUACCGCCCAAGAGUUCAUAUCGACGGCGGUGUUUGGCACCUCGAUGUCGGCUCAUCACAUCCUGGGGCUGAAGUAGGUCCCAAGGGUAUGGCUGUUCGCCAUUUAAAGUGGUACGCGAGCUGGGUUUAGAACGUCGUGAGACAGUUCGGUCCCUAUCUGCCGUGGGCGCUGGAGAACUGAGGGGGGCUGCUCCUAGUACGAGAGGACCGGAGUGGACGCAUCACUGGUGUUCGGGUUGUCAUGCCAAUGGCACUGCCCGGUAGCUAAAUGCGGAAGAGAUAAGUGCUGAAAGCAUCUAAGCACGAAACUUGCCCCGAGAUGAGUUCUCCCUGACUCUUUAAGGGUCCUGAAGGAACGUUGAAGACGACGACGUUGAUAGGCCGGGUGUGUAAGCGCAGCGAUGCGUUGAGCUAACCGGUACUAAUGAACCGUGAGGCUUAACCUUACAACGCCGAAG